GAUGAACGCUGGCGGCGUGCCUAAUACAUGCAAGUCGAGCGAACAGAUGAGGAGCUUGCUCCUCUGACGUUAGCGGCGGACGGGUGAGUAACACGUGGAUAACCUACCUAUAAGACUGGGAUAACUUCGGGAAACCGGAGCUAAUACCGGAUAAUAUAUUUAACCGCAUGGUUCAAUAGUGAAAGACGGUUUUGCUGUCACUUAUAGAUGGAUCCGCGCCGCAUUAGCUAGUUGGUAAGGUAACGGCUUACCAAGGCAACGAUGCGUAGCCGACCUGAGAGGGUGAUCGGCCACACUGGAACUGAGACACGGUCCAGACUCCUACGGGAGGCAGCAGUAGGGAAUCUUCCGCAAUGGGCGAAAGCCUGACGGAGCAACGCCGCGUGAGUGAUGAAGGUCUUCGGAUCGUAAAACUCUGUUAUUAGGGAAGAACAAAUGUGUAAGUAACUAUGCACGUCUUGACGGUACCUAAUCAGAAAGCCGCGGCUAACUACGUG
This 497-nucleotide ribosomal RNA is filed under the name uncultured bacterium. RNAcentral describes it as "partial 16S ribosomal RNA". It matches the Rfam family "Bacterial small subunit ribosomal RNA", at positions 28 to 507 of the family's 1533-position model. The record is from RNAcentral.